UACGACCAUAUUAAGUUGAAAAAAACAGUUCCCGUGCGACCACCGAAGUUAAGCAACGUCGAGCCUGAUCAGUACCUAGAUGGGUGACUGGUUAGGAAUAGCAGCUGCUGUAAG
Acanthosepion pharaonis is the source of this 114-nucleotide non-coding RNA. NCBI's taxonomy places the organism in Eukaryota, Metazoa, Mollusca, Cephalopoda, Sepiida, Sepiidae. The record is from the annotation of a GenBank genome assembly.